This 1683-nucleotide long non-coding RNA is filed under the name Cottoperca gobio. RNAcentral's name for it is "lncRNA (ENSCGOG00000021950.1)". Lineage: Eukaryota; Metazoa; Chordata; Actinopteri; Perciformes; Bovichtidae. The record is from RNAcentral.
UCUCUCUUCCUGUCUGUCUGUCUGUCUGUCUGUCUGUCUGUCUGUUCUGUUCUGUCUGUCUUGUCUCUCUCUCUCUCUCCCUCUCUCUGUCCCUGUCUCUCUCUGUCCCUGUCUCUCUCUCUCUCUGUCUCUCUGUCUGUCUCUCUCUCCCUCUCUCUGUCCCUGUCUCUCUGUCUGUCUCUCUCUCUCUCUUCCUGUCUGUCUGUCUGUCUGUCUGUCUGUCUGUCUGUCUGUCUGUCUGUCUGUCUGUCUGUCUCUCUCUCUCUCUCUCUCUGUGUCUCUGUGUCUGUCUGUCUCUCUCUCUCUCCCUCUCUCUCUCUCUCCCUCUCCCUCUGUGUCUCUCUAACGUGUUGACAAUGUAGGUAGGCGACUCCACACAUCACCAUGACCAGCGUCAACUCUCCAGCCUGUCUGCUUGCCCGUAACCACUUCUACAGAAACUUCUGCCCCAGUCCGGAGCAGAUGAAGCCUGUGUUCAGCUGUGAGAACAGACACAAUCAGAGACAGGUCACCCUCUGGGUCACCAGGGGAACGUGUCCAGGAUUCCCAGGGGGCAUUGGCACCAAAGGAUUAUGGGUGAACAUUGUCCUGGGCUCUUCUUCUUCUCCUCCUCACUUCUCCACCUCCAAACCAUCGAGCACUGCUGACCGGGGCGUCAAGUAGAAGGAAACAAGCGCACCUCAAAUGGUUUAUAGACAGAAAGGAAGUUAAGAAAUCAGGACCCCCUAACUUCCCCAUUUCUCUGCACGGCUGGCUGCUCCGGAGCGGACACUUAAAUAUCCCUGUGGACAAAGUGCCUGACAUUUAAUAUCCAAGCAAUUUUAUGAAAUUGGAGUCAAAAGUUGCCAAAUGUCAUCACAAAAUUGGAUUAUGACAAAGACAUUUUCAACUACUUGCAGCUCUUUUAUAGAGAAAAAGGUUCCUCCACACAUCCGACAGUCCGAAACUAUUACAACAUUCAAGUCACAUCUCAAAACUCACUUAUUCAAAUUGGCCUACUCUCUGUAGUAAGGAUAAUAACAUAUGUUAUGAUUCCAGGCCCCGAUCCACAGACAUAUUAUCAUCUCUGAAUAAACCUGCAGAGUGUUUCAGUCACAGGGACGUCUCUGCUUAAGUUCUUGUUUUUACUCUUAGAAAGUUAUGAGCACAUUUCCUCUUCCACAGUUGCAGCAGAAACAGUUUCCUCAAAUGUGUACUCGGAGUUUCAUUUGAUUUAUGAAAGUGUUGAAAGUGAUGACAGGGACACAGAAUAUUUCACGUAUUGCUGCAUCAGCCAAAUGUGUGAGUCAUUCAUAAAUAAAGCAGAAACACUAAAUAUUCUUCUACAUGUGAGGAUUUGCUGCUUUUCUCUGUUUGCACUGCUGGUUGGAUAGAAAACAGAAUUUGAAGACAUCACCUUGGACUGAACUUUUCCCUUUUUUCAUCUUUAUAUACUUAUAGAACAUAUAUAUACUUAUAUAUAUAUCCAACAAUCAAUUUAUCAAAGACAUAAAUUAGAUUGACAGGGCGAAUCAUCAUCAGCCUUAUUCUUCAUCCUGACUGCACCCAGGAAGUUAAAGACGAGGUGGAGAUCCAGACAGAGAAGAGAGAAGUUCUGCUCCUUCACUCCCACUUUUCAAAGACCCGGUGAACUGGAAAAACUGCAGCGUGGCACGACGAACGAGCCGCAGAACAAACCCUCUG